GAUAAGAACGUAGCGAAAUGCGAUAAGUAAUGUGAAUUGCAGAAUUCAGUGAAUCAUCGAAUCUUUGAACGCACAUUGCGCCCGCCAGUAUUCUGGCGGGCAUGCCUGUUCGAGCGUCAUUUCAACCAUCAAGCCCCCGGGCUUGUGUUGGGGACCUGCGGCUGCCGCAGGCCCUGAAAAGCAGUGGCGGGCUCGCUGUCACACCGAGCGUAGUAGAUUUUAUCUCGCUCUGGGCGUGCUGCGGGUUCCGGCCGUUAAACCACCCUUUUAACCCAAGGUUGACCUCGGAUCAGGUAGGAAGACCCGCUGAACUUAAGCAUAUCAAUAAGCGGAGGA
Molecule: unclassified non-coding RNA, 336 nt
Filed under: soil metagenome
Description: partial contains 5.8S ribosomal RNA, internal transcribed spacer 2, and large subunit ribosomal RNA
Rfam family: 5.8S ribosomal RNA (bases 4-119)
Source: RNAcentral